AAAAACACUCAGAAAUGGAAAUCUAAAAGUGUCAGUUCGGUAUGAAUUUCCAUGGCGUUAAUAUAAACACUGGUGCCAGAACCUCCAAGUCCAAAUCCCUGGCUCGACACUUCUGGCACGCAAUAGACUGCUCAUCUGAUUUUUGGAAGAUGUUUUUCUGGAAGAAAUCAAAGACGGGAAAGAAAUGGUGUGGGCUAAGGAGGACCAAACCUUGUAGUCCUGGAACAUGGUGAGACAGAAUUUUCCACAAUCUUUCCCAGAUAAGAUGAUUUAAGGUGAGGAACUUUUCCAGAUGCUGUGUCAGGGAUCUGUCAUUCUCAUGCAGACAGGCUUCAAAAAGACACUGACCCACCAGGCGAAAAUGCUGAACUAUGCGAUCACCCAUCAAUCCCCAAGACCACAGAAGAGGGAGAGCAGGGAAGAGUCCAUCCUGGCCUUUCUGGGGAUUGUUGGGACCAUCCUCAACCUACUUGUCAUUAUUUUUGUCUACAGCUAUACUUCUAUCUGACUCUAGACUCUGACAUGUGUGAUUGUACUUUCCAUGGGGGAAGAUUUACUUCCCAGAUACUUGAUCAAAGAUGAGAUGUACUGUAGCAUGUGUAUUACCUCACAGACAUUUGAACAUUACUGAAUUAUGUGGGUAAUCAACCAAUCCAGAUCUGCCUUUCGGAUACAACACACUGAUGAACAGUUAUUGGUAGCAUAAAUUCAUCUCAUGUCUAGAAUUAAACAUUAU
Molecule: long non-coding RNA, 736 nt
Organism: Sinocyclocheilus grahami
Lineage: Eukaryota; Metazoa; Chordata; Actinopteri; Cypriniformes; Cyprinidae
Exons: 3
Source: RefSeq, a predicted model, not a curated record